UCAGGAGCCCUCUCAACAGUGAGGGCAAGGAAUGCUCUUUUAUGCCAUGCCAGGAGGGCAGGGACACAGCAGCAUUCAGCCCAUUGAACCAGCCUCUGAGUUCCAUGUUCUGAGGGACCACCACAGCCCACUGGGACUCUCUUUGGUGUCACAGUCUCCAACUCGGUGUUGCUGAAUGGCCUGACAGUCAUGAGGAUGAACAGCCAGCAGAGGAAGGGUGUUCCUACACACUUGUUAAGACCAGAAUGACCAGCUUUUCCUAAGUUUAACAAGUCGCUGGAGUUAUAGGAGAUGGCGGAUUCAUCCCAGUCCCGAGGAAAUGCCUUUUCAGGCUUUACCCCACUUGCUGACGCAGCUCAGACAUCGGAAACGCGAGUUUAAGAACGCGGCGGAGUUCUUAAACUCCGGGGCGAGGGGAGCGGGAGAGACUUCUCAAACUCUUCACAGGGGUCAUGCAAACUGGCAUAAAGUCUUUUAACAGCAAAAAGUUCCAAAAAGUCCGGAACAACCGCAGGCUUUGCGCUCCUCCGGCCGCCGGGGAGCGGGGCAGGGACAGCCCGGGGCUCCCCCGACCCGCCGCAGCCGGGACGCGGCGCUGGGAACUCUCGACGGCUGUUGCUCGGAGUUGGUGUUUUUGCGAUCCCCGCCGUGAACUUCGCUCACGAGUUGAAAGCUCCCGCGGUCCCCGCGCCCCGCCCGGCCCCGUCCCGGGGC
Molecule: long non-coding RNA, 714 nt
Organism: Pipra filicauda (Wire-tailed manakin)
Lineage: Eukaryota; Metazoa; Chordata; Aves; Passeriformes; Pipridae
Exons: 3
Source: RefSeq, a predicted model, not a curated record